CCUACGGGUGGCAGCAGUCGAGAAUCAUUCACAAUGGGGGAAACCCUGAUGGUGCGACGCCGCGUGGGGGAAUGAAGUUCUUCGGAUUGUAAACCCCUGUCAUGUGGGAGCAAAUUAAAAAGAUAGUACCACAAUAGGAAGAGACGGCUAACUCUGUGCCAGCAGCCGCGGUAAUACAGAGGUCUCAAGCGUUGUUCGGAAUCACUGGGCGUAAAGCGUGCGUAGGCUGUUUCGUAAGUCGUGUGUGAAAGGCGCGGGCUCAACCCGCGGACGGCACAUGAUACUGCGAGACUAGAGUAAGGGAGGGGGAACCGGAAUUCUCGGUGUAGCAGUGAAAUGCGUAGAUAUCGAGAGGAACACUCGUGGCGAAGGCGGGUUCCUGGACAUUAACUGACGCUGAGGCACGAAGGCCAGGGGAGCGAAAGGGAUUAGAUACCCGAGUAGUC
This 446-nucleotide ribosomal RNA is filed under the name uncultured bacterium. Its description in RNAcentral is "partial 16S ribosomal RNA". It matches the Rfam family "Bacterial small subunit ribosomal RNA", at positions 338 to 795 of the family's 1533-position model. The record is from RNAcentral.